Molecule: ribosomal RNA, 253 nt
Filed under: uncultured bacterium
Lineage: Bacteria
Description: partial 16S ribosomal RNA
Rfam family: Bacterial small subunit ribosomal RNA
Source: RNAcentral
GACAGAGGGUGCAAACGUUGUUCGGAAUUACUGGGCGUAAAGCGAGUGUAGGCGGUUCGGUAAGUCGGAUGUGAAAGCCCCGGGCUCAACCCGGGAAGUGCACUCGAUACUGCCGAGCUAGAGUAUCGGAGAGGUUGGUGGAAUUCUCGGUGUAGAGGUGAAAUUCGUAGAUAUCGAGAGGAACACCGGUGGCGAAGGCGGCCAACUGGACGAAGACUGACGCUGAGACACGAAAGCGUGGGGAGCAAACAGG